GCCAACGGCAUAGCUGGGUAGCUAUGUAUGGACGGGAUAAGUGCUGAAAGCAUCUAAGCAUGAAGCCCCCCUCAAGAUGAGAUUUCCCAACUUCGGUUAUAAGAUCCCUCAAAGAUGAUGAGGUUAAUAGGUUCGGGGUGGAAGCAUAGCGAUAUGUGGAGCUGACGAAUACUAAUCGAUCGAAGACUUAAUCAAAUUUC
This 200-nucleotide ribosomal RNA is filed under the name Staphylococcus simulans. RNAcentral describes it as "partial 23S ribosomal RNA". It matches the Rfam family "Bacterial large subunit ribosomal RNA", at positions 2728 to 2925 of the family's 2925-position model. Lineage: Bacteria; Bacillati; Bacillota; Bacilli; Caryophanales; Staphylococcaceae. The record is from RNAcentral.